This 185-nucleotide unclassified non-coding RNA is filed under the name Funneliformis sp. RNAcentral's name for it is "partial internal transcribed spacer region". The stretch from base 1 to 46 matches the Rfam family "Eukaryotic small subunit ribosomal RNA", at positions 1786 to 1831 of the family's 1831-position model. Lineage: Eukaryota; Fungi; Glomeromycota; Glomeromycetes; Glomerales; Glomeraceae. The record is from RNAcentral.
AAGUCGUAACAAGGUUUCCGUAGGUGAACCUGCGGAAGGAUCAUUAAUGAUUUUUAAAGCGAGUCGAGCGUUAAGCGAGGCUUGCGAAAUAUUUAAAACCCCACUCUUUUUAACCUUAAAAAAUAGAUCAUGAUACAUGAAUUUAGAAAAAAAGAUCACUUUCAACAACGGAUCUCUUGGUUCUC